CCUACGGGUGGCAGCAGUCGAGAAUUAUUCACAAUGGGGGAAACCCUGAUGGUGCGACGCCGCGUGGGGGAAUGAAGGUCUUCGGAUUGUAAACUCUGGUCAUGGGGGAGAAAAUUAAAAAGAUAGUAGCACAAGACGAAGAGACAGCUAACUCUGUGACAGCAGCCGCGGUAAUACAGAGGUCUCAAGUGUUGUUCGGAAUGAUUGGGCGGAAAGGGUGCGCAGGCGGUUUGGUAAGUCGGGUGUGAAAGGCCCGGGCUCAACCCGCGGACGGCACAUGAUACUGCGUGACUAGAGUAAUGGAGAGGGAAGCGGAAUUCUGGGUGUAGCGGUGAAAUGCGUAGAUAUCGGGAGGAACACUCGUGGCGAAGGCGGGUUCCUGGACAUUAACUGACGCUGAGGCACGAAGGCCAGGGGAGCGAAAGGGAUUAGAUACCCUGGUAGUC
Molecule: ribosomal RNA, 446 nt
Filed under: uncultured bacterium
Lineage: Bacteria
Description: partial 16S ribosomal RNA
Rfam family: Bacterial small subunit ribosomal RNA
Source: RNAcentral